This 641-nucleotide long non-coding RNA is filed under the name Homo sapiens (human). RNAcentral describes it as "ZNF687 antisense RNA 1 (ZNF687-AS1)". The record is from RNAcentral. Lineage: Eukaryota; Metazoa; Chordata; Mammalia; Primates; Hominidae.
CUCCCUACUGGCCGCUCGAAGCUUGAAGCUGCAGUUCACUUUCGCGAAUGUAAGGAACCCAGCUUCUGUGUGGUGGGCACUGAGAGCAGAACCGCAUUGAGUCGGAGUGGAGCACAGAAGUGUAGGUCCUUUUGCGCUGUUUCAAGCUAAACCCGUGUCACUGAUGCCGUACAGAAGUUACAGAAUGGGACGCCACCCCAAACAUUACGUCAUCCGCUGACCAUUUCCUUGCGGUCUUCCCACCGUCUAAAUCGCCAUAUAAUCUGAUGGAUGGGGUCCUCGCGCGGUUCAGCUCCUGGGCGACAGCGUAACCCGUCGCUCCUCCCUCUGCGGGAGGGCGUGGACGGGGCACGGGAUUUGGAGCAUGGAAGGAAUCGGGACCUAAAGGAGUCCCAGGACACCGGAACCAGGACUCCCCGGCGCACCCGGAGAGUUUCCGAGCUCCUUUGAAGUAUGAAUCAGAACUUCUGGAUGGGAAUCCUGGAGCCACCACUUGCCCUAUGGUCGCAAUGGGCAAGUCGCUCAACCUCCCAGAUCCUGUUUUCUCAUGAGUAAAACGGGGAUUAUAAUACCCACCUGACAAUAUUAUUUUUGUGAGAAUUAAAUGAGUUUAGAAUGUAAAAAAAAAAAAAAAAAAAAAA